RNAcentral lists this transfer RNA (65 nucleotides) under Gonatocerus sp. ZCS-2018. RNAcentral's name for it is "tRNA-Thr". The record is from RNAcentral. Lineage: Eukaryota; Metazoa; Arthropoda; Insecta; Hymenoptera; Mymaridae.
AGUUUAAUAGUUUAAAUAAAAUUUAAAUUUUGUAAAUUUAAGAUAAAUAAAAAAUUUUUAAACUU